AGUAACACGUGGGCAACCUUUCCUAUCGCCGGGGGAUAACACCGGGAAACCGAUGCUAAUACCGCAUGUCGUCACUGGUCGCAUGGCUGGUGAAAAAAGCAGCAAUGCACGAUGGGGUGGGCCCGCGGCCUAUCAGCUAGUCGGUGGGGUAACGGCCUACCGAGGCGAUGACGGGUAGCUGGUCUGAGAGGACGAUCAGCCACACUGGGAUUGAGAACGGCCCAG
RNAcentral lists this ribosomal RNA (225 nucleotides) under uncultured bacterium. RNAcentral's name for it is "partial 16S ribosomal RNA". It matches the Rfam family "Bacterial small subunit ribosomal RNA", at positions 109 to 334 of the family's 1533-position model. The record is from RNAcentral.